RNAcentral lists this microRNA precursor (140 nucleotides) under Eucalyptus grandis. Its description in RNAcentral is "mir-399 microRNA precursor family". It matches the Rfam family "mir-399 microRNA precursor family". From Rfam's summary of the family: mir-399 was identified in both Arabidopsis thaliana and Oryza sativa computationally and was later experimentally verified. mir-399 is thought to target mRNAs coding for a phosphatase transporter. The mature sequence is excised from the 3' arm of the hairpin. The record is from Rfam by way of RNAcentral. Lineage: Eukaryota; Viridiplantae; Streptophyta; Magnoliopsida; Myrtales; Myrtaceae.
UUUUGCAUUACAGGGCAAGUUUUCCACUGGCAGGUGGCCACUCACAGCGAAUCUUUCCCUAGAAAGAUGUUUUCCGGGAAAAUCGGAUGCGUCAUCUGAGUGUGCUCUCUGCCAAAGGAGAUUUGCCCAGCGAUUCUUCU